This is a long non-coding RNA of Gracilinanus agilis (Agile Gracile Mouse Opossum), 2393 nucleotides long. RefSeq lists it as uncharacterized. The transcript has 3 exons. NCBI's taxonomy places the organism in Eukaryota, Metazoa, Chordata, Mammalia, Didelphimorphia, Didelphidae. The record is from RefSeq and is a predicted model, not a curated record.
AAUGCAUAAGAAACAGGUUUCAAGUGUAACGAUCUCUGCUUUGUAACUGCAAAGUUGUGCUAACUUUGCACAAAUGUUGGUCUAGACUUUUCUUGACUUGAGAAUUUUUCUUCAGUUGUAUUUCCCAGGAAAAUAGCUUGCACAUUAGCAAACAGUUUUCCAAACUGGAGACAGAUUUGUACUUUGCUUUCUAAUCCAUUCAAGCAAGUAGCUUCUGUACUUUUGAUAUCUCUUAAUGAAUAGUUCAGCUCACUGUAGUAGUAACAUGAUGUAGUUUGUAUUUCUGUUGCUCAGCAAGUGACACCAGUGUCACUAAAUCUGGCUUUCUAACACUGUGGGGUCUUCUGUGCAUAAAAAAAAAAAAUGUUAAAUCGGUGGCCAUAUUUGCUACCGUAUCACAAGUGCUUGAAUUUCUAAGUUUAGGGUUUAUUUUUCAUUAGUCAGUAUGCUCUAAGUACACAUACUUGACAUACAAUUUGGACUUUAGGAACAUCAUGAAGGGAUUUAUUUAUUACUUUGUUCUUCAUCCUUGAAACUGAGUGGGUUUUUACUCUUAUAGAACAAGCAACCUGUGGCAUAAGUGGGUUUCCAUUUGCUUUAGCUGUCAAAUGUGAAUAUUAGUACAGUAGGCUCUACCCCCCCCCCAAAAAAAAAAAAGAUACCUCAGCCAAAAAAGUUGGGAAUAGGUGGGUUUCAGUAAUAAUGGAAAUACCAAGGUGUUUGCAUUGUAUUUCAUGGUUUUACAAUUAUACCAUUCAAAACUGAACUGGUGCUUUUAAAUUUUAAACAAAUCUGAAGCUCAGAGGUGUGAUGCCAGAAUGUAUUUGAGUACUUGUUAGGCCCUUGGAAACAAGGUUAUGGUGCUGUUUGAAAGAUGAAAUCCAACGUGUGCUUUUACUGAGAAUACUGUAAAGCUACAUACAAAGUAUGGAUGAUGGUUGCAGUUUCCCCAAUACUUAAACAGAUGCGUGUGACUCGUUUUGGACUCUAGCUUUAAUGGGGGUUGCAUGUCUCCUAUUGUUAAUCAUUGAUAGCUGCAGUGACAUGAUUUGCAAGACUUGUGUUUUAUUGCCUUUCCCUAAAUGUUAUGUGACAUGUUUUUGGAGAGCCAUGCUGUUUGUUCUGGACCUUAUUUGGUUUUUCCUUUAGCUGAUAUGUCAGUUCUCUGUCAGCUAGUGCAGUUCUCAAAUGGCUGCCUACUAGGGAAAGAAUCUGGAGGAUUUACUGCUCCUAUUCAUCUGUCAUUGCUGCUAGAUAAUGAUUGGCAAUUAAAAGACUUAACUGUGGAGACCCCACAGUCAUCUGUAAAACCCAUCACCUAUAAAAUGUUGCUUUAAAACACCAGUGCUGACAAAGUUGGGUUUCCCCCCCCAGGGCGAAGGGGCUGGACAGAAUAGGACAAUCUGGAGAGGGGUUGGAUGCAAAAAGAUAUAGUAUCCCUUAUGGAUGGUACAUGUGCAACAGGGAAUUAGGGAAGAAGAAAAGCUUGGAAUUGGAACUUGAAUUAAGGAUGAUCUUGUUCUUGUGCACUGUGGACCUGCAUUGUGAAUGUGAUGUCCUCUCCCUCUGAUGAGGAAGGCCAUGUAUUAUUCAGGUUCCCUUGGUGUGGCAUUGUUAGUUUGCCCUAACAUAAAAGCCCAGUGAGAAUUUAGGGGAGGGGAAGAAAGGAUCUGCCUAGAAUGAAGGGGCAAUAACUGUAGUAUCACAGACUUGAAAUGGGGAGGGCAUUCUUGAAGGGGUUCUGCUGAUAUUGGUCAGUCUGCCUGAUGAUGGUGGAAGAUAAUACAGGAGAGGUGCUUUCUUAUAUAGUAAAGAGCAGGGCUUGAUGACGGUAGGAUAAAAGUUGUCACAUACCUUCACAUAAGGGAUAGUAUAUUUUGGGUUGCAAUCAAACUUUAUUGUGCUCAGACUGGUGAAAAUAGCAGUUUAGGAUUUUGUAUUUAAAAGGAAGUAUUCUUCACUCUUAAUUCAGUUGCCUACUCUUUUGACAUCAUCUUUACAAGAAUUAUGUAAACUAGACUAUCUGCCCCAUAAGCUUCUUCCUCCUACUAUAUUCAUAUGCCAUAAUUUGCCCCCUAAUUUUACCAAUCUUUUAUCUCUGGAAUUUUUACCUUUUAAAUUGUGAAAUAACUAGCAUUUUUGGAUUUUUGACUUUAAUAAUAACUUUGUUUAUUAUUCUUUAGGUAAGAGUGAUUGGUGUGGGCUGAAAACAGUGCUCAUCCAUUGAGUCUUGCAGUACAACAUGAGCACAUCUAGAGUGAGCCACGGUCACCAACCCAACAAUUUAAGUAGGAGCAAGGAAGGGAGCAGUGUUUUGGAAAUCCACAAACCAAGGAAGAAGAGCCAGGAUUGUUGAAGAAAUUUAUUUUUAAUAAUAAAAAAGUUUGAAUCCA